UACGAAGGGUGCUAGCGUUGUUCGGAAUUACUGGGCGUAAAGCGUACGUAGGCGGCUUAGUAAGUCGAUUGUGAAAGCCCCAGGCUUAACCUGGGAAUUGCAACCGAAACUGCUUUGCUUGAGUUUGGUGGGGGAUGGCGGAAUUCUUAGUGUAGGGGUGAAAUCCGUAGAUAUUAAGAGGAAUACCGGUGGCGAAGGCGGCCAUCUACGCCAAUACUGACGCUAAGGUACGAAAGCGUGGGGAGCAAACAGG
This 253-nucleotide ribosomal RNA is filed under the name uncultured bacterium. Its description in RNAcentral is "partial 16S ribosomal RNA". It matches the Rfam family "Bacterial small subunit ribosomal RNA", at positions 524 to 776 of the family's 1533-position model. The record is from RNAcentral.